CUCUCUGGAGAUUUCUUGUCUUUGGAUUAGAGUCUGUCUGACAAUGCGGAGUGACAUUUAAUGAGUCAAUCAUCGUCCAACUUCUAAAAGCCUGACCUUCAUCCCCAUUGUGUCUCUGACAGCCACAUGUAAAGCUCUACUGUCGUCUUUAAUCGCAGCCUUCGUAUCGAGCAAGUCAGUCCUCUGGAGCCGUUCGUCCUCGGUGUCGUCUCCGACCGCUCGCUCCAGUCGGCUUCUGUCUGCGGCUUCAACCACACGGGUGAUUUCUUUGCAAUUGAACCAUCAGGGUCCAUUUCACCAGUGCAGUCUCUUCUAGGUCCAGCUUCCUCCGAGACUUGACAUUAUUCUUUCAGCCACUUGUCAUUUAGACAAGUGAAAUAACCUUUAAUUAAUCCAGAGAGAAUCCGUGGAAGACGGCGUCCCUUAGAGUUUUGAUGUCGUCCGUACCAGAAUUGUCCCGGGUUUUACAGGUGAUACCUCGCCUGAAUGUUAACAGCAUGUCAGAACAGUAACAGUGUGAGUCAUUGUCGAGUCUUGUGUGUUUUAUCGUGUCCUUUCCCCUGUCAACACAGACAUCCAGCGUUGUUUACUCGGCUUCUUCUCCCUGCAGGGCCCCUCCUCUUUGAUGACACCUUGUAAUAUUAGCAAAUUAACUGAAGCUCGACUCAGUUCGGCGGUUUUCCACCGAGCGAGGUCCCGCCGGCCCCCCAGUGCACGCUGCUUUCCAACGAUUAGUUCAGAUGACUGUGUUUGAUGGUUUGUCAUUUUGCAUGCCUGGGAAGAGAUCGCCUCAUAAACGUCGAUGACUUCUCAAGCGUGCGAGAGCAGACCGGCUGGUCCAAAAACACUGCGAUGAGGCUUUUCACUCUGCUGCCGGGACAGGCGCAGGCCCUCGGUGGCUCCAGACUGUGGCCGACUAACAAACGGGUCUGGAAAUAAAUAACGUUGUGACCCGAAGAAAAGGACAAAAGUUUACUUGCACACUUAAUUUGAAGAGGAGACACUCGAUUCACACUGUAACUUCUGUGUUGGAUUCACUGAGUCAUAGCAGCAUAGACGAAUCUUGGACCCGGUAAUAAAUCUGCCUGACUCCCGUCUCCAGGAGUUCAAUUUUCAAAUUCCACCCAUGAUUUUCAGCUUAGGUUAUGCCAUCGAUUAGAGAGUUAAAAUUGGACCGUGUUGGCAUGUUUCUCGAGCCGUUAGCACACUCGACGGUGCUGGAUUAGCCGUGGAGUGGAAACAGCUCCGAUGCCCCGCAGUCAGUAUGGGGUAUCCUCGUGGUGGAAAACAAGUCGACAGCUGUACUCGUCCUCGGGAAGAUAACCCAGCACGAGCGCAGAAAGAAAAGGCAGAGGGAAGAAGAGCAGACAUUUUAUAAAGAUGUGUGUUGGUCUUCGCCUGUCACCAUGUGGACUGUGGUGUCUCCAGCCCCGUCUGGUCCAACACAUUAUUCUGAUGUGCUUAAGUGGAGCGAUGCAGGAAGUCCAGCUUCGGUGGUGACAACUACUUGAGUUUGGUUUUUUUAUUGUCUGUGUGCCUGGAGUCAGCCCACAUCACGUCUCCUGAUAGAUGAUACCCCGACAUACUUACCCGUGCAACUCCCCUCCUCAAAGUCCCCCUCCUCCUCCUCUGUUACCUCCCCCAGGAGAUGCAUGGAUGAGCAAGCUUAUUCUCCUCGUGGGGUGUUCCCCAUGCAUGACUGAUGCUGAGAUUAAUAUCCUUGACUGAUUCCUGCUCCGCGGUGAGGAGAGGAGGAGGCCUAUCACAGCACAGCCGCCCCCUCAGGAGUCCAUUGAUUUUCGCACCGUUCUGACAAACAUGAACCUCCUCAGCCCACAAAAUACUUUAUUUGUUGUCCAUUUAGAUGCCGUCUCCUCCGGCCCAGCUGUCCACAUCUGCUUUCUUGUUGUUUUUUUUCUUUUUUAGCUCUGUUUGUCCCACGUCUCUGUCAGCUGCACGGUAUUUACUGCUAAUCGCAUCCACUUUAGGAAUUAGUAUGUAAAUGUAUGCAACAUGAGAGUGAUGCAACUAUAAAAAG
Molecule: long non-coding RNA, 2038 nt
Organism: Acanthopagrus latus (yellowfin seabream)
Lineage: Eukaryota; Metazoa; Chordata; Actinopteri; Spariformes; Sparidae
Exons: 3
Source: RefSeq, a predicted model, not a curated record